Molecule: ribosomal RNA, 193 nt
Filed under: uncultured bacterium
Lineage: Bacteria
Description: partial 16S ribosomal RNA
Rfam family: Bacterial small subunit ribosomal RNA
Source: RNAcentral
CAACUCGCCUGCAUGAAGUCGGAAUUGCUAGUAAUCGUGGAUCAGCAUGCCACGGUGAAUACGUUCCCGGGCCUUGUACACACCGCCCGUCACACCAUGGGAGUCGGUAACACCCGAAGCCUGUAGUCUAACCGCAAGGAGGACGCAGUCGAAGGUGGGAUUGAUGACUGGGGUGAAGUCGUAACAAGGUACC